Molecule: ribosomal RNA, 345 nt
Filed under: uncultured Citrobacter sp.
Lineage: Bacteria; Pseudomonadati; Pseudomonadota; Gammaproteobacteria; Enterobacterales; Enterobacteriaceae
Description: bacterial SSU rRNA
Rfam family: Bacterial small subunit ribosomal RNA
Source: RNAcentral
UGCCAGCAGCCGCGGUAAUACGGAGGGUGCAAGCGUUAAUCGGAAUUACUGGGCGUAAAGCGCACGCAGGCGGUCUGUCAAGUCGGAUGUGAAAUCCCCGGGCUCAACCUGGGAGCUGCAUCCGAAACUGGCAGGCUAGAGUCUUGUAAAGGGGGGUAGAAUUCCAGGUGUAGCGGUGAAAUGCGUAGAGAUCUGGAGGAAUACCGGUGGCGAAGGCGGCCCCCUGGACAAAGACUGACGCUCAGGUGCGAAAGCGUGGGGAGCAAACAGGAUUAAAUACCCUGGUAGUCCACGCCGUAAACGAUGUCGACUUGGAGGUUGUGCCCUUGAGGCGUGGCUUCCGGA